Molecule: non-coding RNA, 148 nt
Filed under: Nomascus leucogenys (northern white-cheeked gibbon)
Lineage: Eukaryota; Metazoa; Chordata; Mammalia; Primates; Hylobatidae
Source: Rfam by way of RNAcentral
GCUGGGUGCGGUGGCGUGCACCUGUAAUCCCAGCUACUUGGGAGGCUGAGGCAGGAGAAUCGCUUGAACCCAGGAGGCAGAGGUUGCAGUGAGCCAAGAUCACGCCACUGCACUCCAGCCUGGGUGACAGAGUGAGACUUCAUCUCAA